Molecule: non-coding RNA, 72 nt
Organism: Podarcis lilfordi (Lilford's wall lizard)
Lineage: Eukaryota; Metazoa; Chordata; Lepidosauria; Squamata; Lacertidae
Source: the annotation of a GenBank genome assembly
GGGGGCGUGGCUCAGUGGCAGAACAGCUGCCUUGAAUGCAGAAGGUCCCAGGAUCAGCCCCUGGCAUCCUAA